RNAcentral lists this ribosomal RNA (497 nucleotides) under uncultured bacterium. RNAcentral's name for it is "partial 16S ribosomal RNA". It matches the Rfam family "Bacterial small subunit ribosomal RNA", at positions 28 to 507 of the family's 1533-position model. The record is from RNAcentral.
GAUGAACGCUGGCGGCGUGCCUAAUACAUGCAAGUCGAGCGAACAGACGAGGAGCUUGCUCCUCUGACGUUAGCGGCGGACGGGUGAGUAACACGUGGAUAACCUACCUAUAAGACUGGGAUAACUUCGGGAAACCGGAGCUAAUACCGGAUAAUAUAUUGAACCACAUGGUUCAAUAGUGAAAGACGCAUUUGCUGUCACUUAUAGAUGGAUCCGCGCCGCAUUAGCUAGUUGGUAAGGUAACGGCUUACCAAGGCAACGAUGCGUAGCCGACCUGAGAGGGUGAUCGGCCACACUGGAACUGAGACACGGUCCAGACUCCUACGGGAGGCAGCAGUAGGGAAUCUUCCGCAAUGGGCGAAAGCUUGACGGAGCAACGCCGCGUGAGUGAUGAAGGUCUUCGGAUCGUAAAACUCUGUUAUUAGGGAAGAACAAAUGUGUAAGUAACUAUGCACGUCUUGACGGUACCUAAUCAGAAAGCCACGGCUAACUACGUG